This 271-nucleotide ribosomal RNA is filed under the name uncultured bacterium. RNAcentral describes it as "partial 16S ribosomal RNA". It matches the Rfam family "Bacterial small subunit ribosomal RNA", at positions 28 to 300 of the family's 1533-position model. The record is from RNAcentral.
GACGAACGCUGGCGGCGUGCUUAACACAUGCAAGUCGAGCGGUAAGGCCCUUUCGGGGGUACACGAGCGGCGAACGGGUGAGUAACACGUGGGUGACCUGCCUCUAGCUCUGGGAUAAGCCUGGGAAGCUGGGUCUAAUACCGGAUAUGACCUCGCGGUGCAUGUUGCGGGGUGGAAAGCCUUGUGCGGCUAGGGAUGGGCCCGCGGCCUAUCAGCUUGUUGGUGGGGUGAUGGCCUACCAAGGCGACGACGGGUAGCCGGCCUGAGAGGG